Molecule: ribosomal RNA, 514 nt
Filed under: uncultured bacterium
Lineage: Bacteria
Description: partial 16S ribosomal RNA
Rfam family: Bacterial small subunit ribosomal RNA
Source: RNAcentral
GAUGAACGCUGGCGGCGUGCCUAAUACAUGCGAGUCGAGCGAACUGAUUAGAAGCUUGCUUCUAUGACGUUAGCGGCGGACGGGUGAGUAACACGUGGGCAACCUGCCUGUAAGACUGGGAUAACUUCGGGAAACCGAAGCUAAUACCGGAUAGGAUCUUCUCCUUCAUGGGAGAUGAUUGAAAGAUGGUUUCGGCUAUCACUUACAGAUGGGCCCGCGGUGCAUUAGCCAGUUGGUGAGGUAACGGCUCACCAAGGCAACGAUGCAUAGCCGACCUGAGAGGGUGAUCGGCCACACUGGGACUGAGACACGGCCCAGACUCCUACGGGAGGCAGCAGUAGGGAAUCUUCCGCAAUGGACGAAAGUCUGACGGAGCAACGCCGCGUGAGUGAUGAAGGCUUUCGGGUCGUAAAACUCUGUUGUUAGGGAAGAACAAGUACAAGAGUAACUGCUUGUACCUUGACGGUACCUAACCAGAAAGCCACGGCUAACUACGUGCCAGCCGCCGCGGUAA